CGCCGUUCAGUUGGCCGACGUUCACCGCGUCGGUGUUCGCGACACCGGCCGCGACGUUGUGCAGCGUCGUGCCGUUCGUACCGGCGAACGUCACC
RNAcentral lists this transfer RNA (95 nucleotides) under Burkholderia lata. Its description in RNAcentral is "tRNA-Ala". The record is from RNAcentral. Lineage: Bacteria; Pseudomonadati; Pseudomonadota; Betaproteobacteria; Burkholderiales; Burkholderiaceae.